AACGAACGCUGGCGGCGCGCCUAAUACAUGCAAGUCGAGCGAGAAGGUGUAGCAAUACACUUGUAAAGCGGCGAACGGGUGAGGAAUACAUGGGUAACCUACCCUCGAGUGGGGAAUAACUAGCCGAAAGGUUAGCUAAUACCGCAUACGAUUCCAAGACUUCGGUUUUGGAAGGAAAGCACUACCGUGGGUAGUGCGCUCCUGGAUGGGCUCAUGUCCUAUCAGCUUGUUGGNGAGGUAAUGGCUCACCCAAGGCUUCGACGGGUAGCUGGUCUGAGAGGACGAUCAGCCACACUGGCACUGCGACACGGGGCCAGACUCCUACGGGAGGCAGCAGUAAGGAAUAUUGCGCAAUGGGCGACAGCCUGACGCAGCGACGCCGCGUGGGGGAUGAAGGUCUUCGGAUUGUAAACCCCUUUCGGGAGGGAAGAGGGAAGUGGGCAACCCAUUCGGACGGUACCUCCAGAAGCAGCCACGGCUAACUUCGUGCCAGC
This 494-nucleotide ribosomal RNA is filed under the name uncultured bacterium. Its description in RNAcentral is "bacterial SSU rRNA". It matches the Rfam family "Bacterial small subunit ribosomal RNA", at positions 29 to 512 of the family's 1533-position model. The record is from RNAcentral.